Styela clava is the source of this 2061-nucleotide non-coding RNA. The record is from RefSeq and is a predicted model, not a curated record. NCBI's taxonomy places the organism in Eukaryota, Metazoa, Chordata, Ascidiacea, Stolidobranchia, Styelidae.
CAUCACAGGCAGACGAGUUAGCACGUGGCUCUGAGAGCUCGUCUUGGAGGUUGACAUAGACCAAAGCGUAUAUAUAAUUUGACAUAGACUAUUUGGUUCCUAGACCUUGGUUUAAAUUUCAGGUACAGACAACGCGAUCAGACGGUUAUGUCGGCAUGUCACCUUACAGGCCUGUAUGCAUUCAACUGUUACAUUCAUUGGUAAUGAUUAAGCUUCUGCAUCACAUCAUUCUGUCAUAGUUCAGUAGUCGCACAAUAAUCCUGUAAUCCAGUGCUCAUGAAGUGAAAUCUAAACUUUACAGCUAUGGAUAGGUAUCAUAUGUGUCGUCGGGUGUCAUGAAGAGUUGUUCUUUAUAUUGGGCAAUGAAACCACAACUGCAGCGAAGUAUGAAAGUAAAAUAGAAGAACUUUCAAUCAAAAGCCCGCUAGAUUAUAUCAAUUUUAUGCGGAUAAAGCAAGUUAGCAACAAAAAAAAACUUCGGAAAGGAGAAAUUACUAAAAUAGCAUACAAAGAGGAAAUGAGCGUGGUGAUGCUGUCUUGGUUGCAAUCAACAUCAAUGGGAUAUUGAGAGCACACACGUGGAUGAAAAGAAAUCUCGUCAAUCAAUCAAUUUUAUUUUGAUCACUCUGAAAGAAACAAAACCACAACAAACGGACAAACAAAAUGCACAGGACCUGAAGGUAGGGCAUAACUCAAUAAAACCAUCCACCAAUAAUAGUCAAAAGAACACAAUAAUAUAAAGAUACGAUGUAAAAUUGGGCAAUACCUAUUAAAUCAAUUUUAAAAUGUAAUAGGCAUUCAACUUCCCAUUUGCAAAAAUGUACCGGUAAUGCUUGAGGGAUUGCUAAUUGCAUUCUUGUGUCGCUGUUUUUGAGAAUGAUAUAUAAAAUGCUAACCUCCAGUCAAAUGCUAUGCUGUAAAGUGUAACUGAAAAAAUACAAUCAAAAGGACAUUUCUAGAAGUGAGUGCAUGGCUAUGGUAUGUGUAUCACAACAGUGCUUUUCCUACAUAAAUAUGGAAUAAAAAACACUCGUUGGCCUAUAAUGGGGAUGCUGUAGUUCAAUUUCAUUGCGAAAAUAACAGUGACAAAAAAUUGUUACUGAAAAAAUUGUCACUAAAAAAACAAGCUCGGUAAAUAGAUUGAAUGUUUUAUAACAGUCUAUGGACAAUCAUGGAUUGGGGUCAUGGUCGGGUUCUUUUGUAGUUUUCGAUUAGUUCAUUUUAAAAUCAUUGUAAUCGUUCCAAUGUUUCCAACAUUAAUAUCGAAUUUCAACAGGUGCAGUGGUCCCGUCUUUUCUGCGCUCUGUUCCAUCAUCCUCGCAGAUGACCGUAUAUGGUUGUAUCGUUAUCACCCAGUCAUCUACCGAAAACUGCAUUAUGUAUUGUUUUAUUAUUUAUUUGUUAUUGUAUAAUUAUUAUGUUUUCUGGUUUAACGAAAAAAAUAAAUUAUCUCUCUCCACAACUAGAUUCAUAAAGGGAUCGAAACCUCUCAACACCCGUAACAGAUCGUUCACCUUUUAACUUUAAAUACAAUCUUUUAUCCAUAAACUUCUUUAAUUCCGGUGGAUGGGCUUUAAUCAUGCUGAUAUCACGCGAUACAAAUCCAACAGUAAAACCAAAACACACAGCGCGUAGUAUUCUUAGUCAAACAGCCACUAACCAAGUUGUCUUCGGCGCUAACCAGAUUUGGUUUCCCACAGCUUCCCUUCCAAAGUAAAAAUGUAUGAUUACCUCUUUGUGAAUAUUGUUUGUGUUUGUUUUUUACUGGUUGAAUAAAAUAAACUUGACUAUUUCACAGUCACCAACAUGUCAAUUCCGCACCGCUUCAUUCAGUAAAAAAAGCUCUUAUGGUUCAAGAAUUGGGAAAUUGCAAUCGUCAAGCUUUUGAGUAGAAAUGAACGUCUCUCAGAUCUAGUUUUUACAAGUGUAUCUGCUAUAUGCCUUUUUUUCAUUCUGUAUAACUUUGUUUGACCUUGACUGUUGCCUCUUUGGCCUGGCCAUAAAACAACAUUAGAACUGUUUGUUUUUAUUUUUUAACUUUCAAAGUUCUCAAUCUAUCAU